RNAcentral lists this long non-coding RNA (334 nucleotides) under Phasianus colchicus (ring-necked pheasant). Its description in RNAcentral is "lncRNA (ENSPCLG00000008020.1)". The record is from RNAcentral. Lineage: Eukaryota; Metazoa; Chordata; Aves; Galliformes; Phasianidae.
GAUAUCUGAGAUGAGUAAGAACAGAGAGCACAGUAUAGUAUCUGAGAAAAGAAUAAUGUCUGAUUUUUUUAUUCAUCACUUUUUUUUUUUUUUUUCUUGGCAUCUUUCAGAUGGAAUGGAUAGAUUUCCUAGACCUACAGCUUACUCUCAACUGAAAUGUACCUGGUGUAGACAAUACAGAUCAACCACAGGAAAGACAUCUUCAGAAAAUAAUCUGAAAGAUACAUUCCACUUUACCUGGAAGAGCUCAACUCAUUUUGAAGACCUCUAUUCAGAAAAUAACUGCAACAAUCUGUCCACGGAGUGCUGUUAUUCUGAGACCAUAGUUGUCUAG